GUGAGCUUCAGACUGAUCCCUUUCACUUAGCCUACCCUAUGGAUAAACUUCAAGACUUCUGUGGACUGUAGACCACCAUUCAAUGCAUUUCCAUUCCAUUUACACUUAAAACGUUUGUUUUACAGGUUCUGGCAGACUUUCCUCACACCACAGCUGAGUGUUGACUACCUGUUAGAUCUUUCCCUGAAAUCCAACCUCGCUUCUCUAUCGCCCCUUCACUCUUGAAUUUCUGGAGCCUGGAGAAUGUGCUCUGUAGGGUCUUUGAUAAUCACCCUAACCGCAUCCAGAUCUUGCUCGCAGUAGUGAAAUAUAAAACCAAGCUUCAUAAGCCACGCAAGUGUCUGUGUUCUUCCUGGCUGGCAUCUCUGGAUCCCUCUAAAGGGGAGCUUGAGUUUCCCUGAUGACCCAGACACCCCUGUGAUAAUGGCUGGGCCAGGGACAGGUGUGGCUCCCUUCAGAUCUGCUAUACAGGAGGAGAGAGCUACUCAAGGGAAGACGGGUGAACGCGGUACCUUCAAGCAGAGCCGGCCCAAGGCAUAAGCGAACUAAGCAGCUGCUUAGGGCCCCGGUGGCCACCAGGGGGCCCCAAAGAGCACAUGAUUUUUUUUUUCUUUUUUUUUGUGAUUAUACUGUCAAUGGACAAUGGUAAUUAUACAAAAACACAAUAUUAUGUUAACGGACUGCAGGAUGCAAGCACAUUCAGACAGCAAAACAGCAAUGUCACAAAAAAGGACAUAUCCUCUGGUGCAAAGAAAAGAAGAAAACAGAGGAAGAGAAAAAACAGCAUGAUAAAGGUCCAUCUUCUGCAUGCGUGGAGCACUUCCCAACACGUGCAUCCACUGAUGUGGUCAUCUAUCCUGUCUGACUCAGAAAGGACUGAUCUGGUAAGCAGAGGGCCACUGCCUAUAAAGGAAAACUUCACAUUCCCUGAAAAACCUGAUGGCCGAAGCUUCCACUACACCUACAGAAAGUUAAUUAAUGGGGAAAAAAGUGGAGCUGCUCACUUAUUCAAAAAUAAAUUAUACUGUCUACAGCUUCUGCUGCAAAUUGUUCUCUAGGAAGUACACAAAACUGGUAACAGAGGAUCAACAGGAUUGUCUAAAUAUAGGUGUGCUACUGUUACAUUUAAAACCGUAGAAGGGUAAAAUCAUGCCAGGCAGACAUUGGUAUGUUGUAAGCAACACAGCUACAACUAAUACAAUUGAUAAGGGGUGUGUUAGAUUUAUAGUGUGCGAAUAAUCAAGCAUUGACAAUAUUCAAUCAUAUUGGCGGCACAAUCAUUUAUGGGGCUUAGGGCCCCAUAAAGGCUUGGGCCAGCCCUGCCUUCAAGCAUUUGGAAAUUGCUGCCAAGGAUGAACCAGUGUUGUGAUCCACAAUUCUGAGGUUUUUGCUGAUUUCUUUUGAUUUUCACAUGAUGUCAAGCAAAGUGACACUGAGUUUGAAGUUAGGCCUUAAAAUACAUCCACAGGUACACCUCGAAUUAGCCUAUCAGAAACGAAUUGGCUAAUUUUCUAAAGGCUUGACAUAAUUUUCUGGAACUGAUAGCACUUAUAGGCACAGCUAACAUUUAUGUAAACGUCUGACCCACUGGAAUUUUGAUAUCGUCAAUUAAAUAGUAAACAAACUGUCUGUAAACAAUUGUUGGAAAAAUUACUUGUAUCAAGCACAAAGUAGAUGUGCUAAAUGACUUGCUAAAAACUAUAGUUUGCUAAUAUGAAAUCUGUGAAGUGGUUAAAAACUGAGUUUUAAUUACUUCAACCUAUGUGUAUGUAAUCUUCUGACUUCAACUGUAAGAACAGUUGUGCUCAUGACUACUUUUCAACAUAUUUUCUUUUCUCAUUUCAUGUAUAUACUAACAUAUGUAUGGUUGUGCUACAGCAUUUAUGUUUGUAUUAGACUAUAUAUAAAUGAGCAUUGCAUAUGUAAAGUGCAGAAAUGAGCUAUAUUUACAUUUUCAUCUAGGAAUGCAAAGCACAUGCCCACAGGUGUAUGUGAUGCACUGAAAGGGAUUUUUGAAAAUGAGGGGGGCAUGUUUGAAAAUCAGACACAGAAAAUAUUGGAUUCCAUGGAGAAAGCCAAGUGCUUUCAGAGUGAAACCUGGUCCUGAUCUCUCCCUUACAUUCCUCUUAUAGCCUUAAUAACCCAGUGUAAAAGAGAGCUUGAAUAGUGUUUUAUACUGGUAACUCUUGACUCUUCCACCAGGUUUGGUCAAUCCGACCACUCUCCUUCCAAGCAAAUAUACCUUUGCUUUGGAAAUGUAAUUGUGGAUCCUGGUACCAUAACUGACCAGAAUAUUAUGCAUUAUUGGCCUCUGACUCAACAUUUUAUUUAAUUGAAUGACAAAGUGAUAAUGGUAAUAAAUGGUAUUCAUUUGUAAUGUUCCCUUUAAAUCUUGUUUAAAUAAAUCUUAACUGAAAUAGAGGA
Xyrauchen texanus (razorback sucker) is the source of this 2424-nucleotide long non-coding RNA. RefSeq lists it as uncharacterized. The record is from RefSeq and is a predicted model, not a curated record. The transcript has 6 exons. Lineage: Eukaryota; Metazoa; Chordata; Actinopteri; Cypriniformes; Catostomidae.